This 262-nucleotide long non-coding RNA is filed under the name Amphimedon queenslandica. Its description in RNAcentral is "uncharacterized LOC109587669". The record is from RNAcentral. Lineage: Eukaryota; Metazoa; Porifera; Demospongiae; Haplosclerida; Niphatidae.
GAGAGAUCAGAAAUACAAGAGGCAGAGGAAGCAAGGUUAAGGAGGAUUAAGAAAAUUAAAGCACAGCAUAGACAAAGAUAUUGAUUAUGACUGAGUUUUAGGUGUCAUAUUUAUUAUUUUUGUAUUGCAAUCCCACCAAAUUUACUUGACAACAUGUUAUAAGAGUUGGCUACAUGCAUGUACAGUAAAUACACUUUAUUCAAUUUUGUGUAGUUUUUCUAGCAAUCUAAUUUUUAUAGAGUAGCUGUCAUUCUUAUAUUAA